AGGACGAACGCUGGCGGCGUGCUUAACACAUGCAAGUCGAGCGGUAAGGCUCCUUCGGGAGUACACGAGCGGCGAACGGGUGGGUAACACGUGAGCAAUCUGCCCUUCUCUUCGGAAUAACCAUUGGAAACGAUGGCUAAUGCCGAAUACGACCUCCUUUCGCAUGAUCGGAGGUGGAAAGCUCCGGCGGAGAAGGAUGAGCUCGCGGCCUAUCAGCUAGUUGGCGGGGUAACGGCCCACCAAGGCGACGACGGGUAGCCGGCCUGAGAGGGUGACCGGCCACACUGGGACUGAGACACGGCCCAGACU
This 309-nucleotide ribosomal RNA is filed under the name uncultured soil bacterium. RNAcentral describes it as "bacterial SSU rRNA". It matches the Rfam family "Bacterial small subunit ribosomal RNA", at positions 26 to 337 of the family's 1533-position model. The record is from RNAcentral.